RNAcentral lists this ribosomal RNA (491 nucleotides) under uncultured bacterium. RNAcentral describes it as "partial 16S ribosomal RNA". It matches the Rfam family "Bacterial small subunit ribosomal RNA", at positions 28 to 507 of the family's 1533-position model. The record is from RNAcentral.
GAUGAACGCUAGCUACAGGCUUAACACAUGCAAGUCGCGGGGCAGCAUGGGGGUUGCUUGCAACCCCUGAUGGCGACCGGCGCACGGGUGAGUAACGCGUAUCCAACCUGCCCUUCACCACGGGAUAACCCGGCGAAAGUCGGACUAAUACCGUAUGUUGUCCAUUGACGGCAUCCGAUUUGGACGAAAGGCUUGGCGGUGGAAGGAUGGGGAUGCGUCCGAUUAGCUUGACGACGGGGUAACGGCCCACCGUGGCUACGAUCGGUAGGGGUUCUGAGAGGAAGGUCCCCCACACUGGAACUGAGACACGGUCCAGACUCCUACGGGAGGCAGCAGUGAGGAAUAUUGGUCAAUGGGCGUAAGCCUGAACCAGCCAAGUAGCGUGCAGGAUGACGGCCCUAUGGGUUGUAAACUGCUUUUAUGCGGGGAUAAAGUGGCCCACGUGUGGGCUUUUGCAGGUACCGCAUGAAUAAGGACCGGCUAAUUCCGUG